UACGUAGGUGGCAAGCGUUGUCCGGAAUUAUUGGGCGUAAAGCGCGCGCAGGCGGUCCUUUAAGUCUGAUGUGAAAGCCCACGGCUCAACCGUGGAGGGUCAUUGGAAACUGGGGGACUUGAGUGCAGGAGAGAAGAGUGGAAUUCCACGUGUAGCGGUGAAAUGCGUAGAUAUCUGGAGGAACACCGGUGGCGAAGGCGGCAUCCUGGACCGACACUGACACUGAGGAGCGAAAGCCAGGGGAGCAAACGGG
This 253-nucleotide ribosomal RNA is filed under the name uncultured bacterium. Its description in RNAcentral is "partial 16S ribosomal RNA". It matches the Rfam family "Bacterial small subunit ribosomal RNA", at positions 524 to 776 of the family's 1533-position model. The record is from RNAcentral.